GAAAGUAAAGAAGGGCGCAUGGCGGAUGCCUUGGCUCUCGGAGGCGAUGAAGGACGUGAUAAGCUGCGAUAAGCUCCGGGGAGGUGCAAAUAACCUUUGAUCCGGGGAUUUCCGAAUGGGACAACCCGGCGUGUUGAAGACACGCCACCUGAUCAUUUCAGGAGCUAACGCAGGGAACUGAAACAUCUUAGUACCUGCAGGAAAAGAAAAUAACAAUGAUUCCCCCAGUAGUGGCGAGCGAACGGGGAAUAGCCCAAACCGUUCAUGUUACGGCAUGAUCGGGGUUGUAGGACUACGUCGUUGCAUGAAGACAUCGGAGAAGAACUUUCUGGAAAGGAAGACCAUAGAGCAUGACAGUUGCGUAUUCGUAUGUUGUCGAAGCAUAGUAGUAUCCUGAGUAGCGCGGAGCACGAGGAAUUCUGCGUGAAUCUGCCGGGACCAUCCGGUAAGGCUAAAUACUCCCGAGAGACCGAUAGCGAACCAGUACCGUGAGGGAAAGGUGAAAAGCACUUCGAACAGAAGAGUGAAAUAGUUCCUGAAACCGUGCGCCUACAAGCGGUCGGAGCUGCUUAAAGCAGUGACGGCGUGCCUUUUGCAUAAUGAACCUACGAGUUGCCUUUGCCGGCAAGGUUAAGUGUGACGACACACGUAUCCGAAGCGAAAGCGAGUCUGAAUAGGGCGCAUAGUCGGCAGUGGCAGACGCGAAACCAAGUGAUCUACCCUUGGCCAGGUUGAAGGCUGGGUAACACCAGCUGGAGGACCGCACCAAUAAGCGUUGAAAAGCUUCUGGAUGAGCUGAGGGUAGGGGUGAAAGGCUAAUCAAACUUGGAGAUAGCUCGUACUCCCCGAAAUGCAUUUAGGUGCAGCCUUGGGAAUUACUACUGUGAGGUAGAGCGACUGAUAAGAUGCGAGGGCUUCACCGCCUAUCAAGUCUUGACAAACUCCGAAUGCGCAUCAGUUUUACCUCAGGAGUGAGGGCAUGGGUGCUAAGGUCCGUGCCCGAGAGGAGAAGAAUCCGGACCACCUGCUAAGGUCCCGAAAUAACAGCUAAGUUAAACUAACGAAGUCAGAUUGCUAAGACAGCUAGGAUGUUGGCUUGGAAGCAGCCAUUCAUUUAAAGAGUGCGUAACAGCUCACUAGUCGAGGAGUCUGGCGUGGAUAAUAAUCGGGUAUUAAGUUGUCUACCGAAGCAGUGGGAUCAUUGAAAUGAUCGGUAGGGGAGCAUUCCAGUCAGCGUCGAAGGCGUACCGCGAGGUAUUCUGGAGCGUCUGGAAAAGCAAAUGUAGGUAUAAGUAACGAUAAAGGGGGCGGGAAACCCCCUCGCCGAAAGACUAAGGUUUCCUGAUCAACGCUAAUCGGAUCAGGGUAAGUCGGGUCCUAAGGCUCAGCCGAACGGCGAGGCCGAUGGCAGAACCGGUUAAUAUUCCGGUACUACCUGUGGGAGUGACGUGGAGACGGAGUCGUGACAGCGCCGCGGACUGACGGAAUAGUCCGUUGAAGGGUGUAGAUGCUGAUUGUUCCAGGCAAAUCCGGAGCAAGAGUCGAACCUGAUAGUAUGGAGCGUUCUUAGAACAAUCCAAUAGUGCGUGUAAUCAUACUUCCAAGAAAAUCCGCUAAACUUAAUCCUGCAGGUACCCGUACCGCAAACGGACACACGUAGUCGGGUUGAAUAUACUAAGGCGCUUGAGUGAUUCACGGUUAAGGAACUAGGCAAACUGACCCUGUAACUUCGGGAUAAAGGGUCCCUACCCGGUGACGGGAGGGCGCAGAGAAUAGGUCCAGGCAACUGUUUAACAAAAACACAGGGCUGUGCUAAAUCGAAAGAUCCUGUAUACAGCCUGACACCUGCCCGGUGCUGGAAGGUUAAGAGGAGACGUCAUCGUUGAGAGAAGCGUUGAAUUGAAGCCCCAGUAAACGGCGGCCGUAACUAUAACGGUCCUAAGGUAGCGAAAUUCCUUGUCGGGU
RNAcentral lists this ribosomal RNA (1965 nucleotides) under human metagenome. RNAcentral's name for it is "bacterial LSU rRNA". It matches the Rfam family "Bacterial large subunit ribosomal RNA", at positions 1 to 1977 of the family's 2925-position model. The record is from RNAcentral.